This 1068-nucleotide small RNA is filed under the name Histoplasma ohiense. RNAcentral's name for it is "hypothetical lncRNA". Lineage: Eukaryota; Fungi; Ascomycota; Eurotiomycetes; Onygenales; Ajellomycetaceae. The record is from RNAcentral.
ACUUGCACGUCGAUCUACGGAUUAUCGCAACAAAUAUCAACUGUAUUUCUGUAUAUUUUCAUCAUUCAUUCCAUCCCUAGCAUGUCAAGAUACAUCUAGUCCUUCACCUCGAUUCCAAAGAAGUUGUUCCAUUUGAACAAUGGAGCUGUCAUCUGUCUUCAGGCUCUCCCAGGGCCUCUGAGGCCGCAAGGGAGCUUUGAUCUGUUAACCGAGUGCUAAAUGCAAUUUCAUAGCCCCAAACGGAGCCUCGCUGCGCCCUAACACACCCACAUCAUGUGAUAUGACUAUUUUGGUGUUAAAACAGCAAUUAUCCUGUGAAGCGUCUGAGCUUGCUGAGAUAACUCUCGCGUAGAUAGUUUAGUAAUGAAUAACAACGUUAUCCUCCUACAUUGACCGAAAAUGAACGCUUCCAGUUUCAAAAUUUUCGCAUUAGGCUAUAACUGUCUAUUUUGAUAAAUAUGUCAAUUUUCAACGUUCUCAUCUAUUGGCUAAUUCCUAUAUAGCUUUAAAUACAAAGUUGACUGAGUUUUACUCCAAAUACGGUAUCGUGACUGCUGCAGGGGAAUGGAUGGAAAGGAAUCCCUACAGUGAAGCGUUCGACGACAAUUCGACAGACUGGAUACAUCACUGAGCCUGUCGAAGUGUCCUGCGCCAGGGUCAAGCCCCGCUGCUAUUCAUUAUUCAUGUGUGCAUAGAGGUGCUCGUCCCCAAGAGCUCUGCAGUGAAUGGAAUAUUUCCAGUGUUUGGGGUACUGAGAAUGGGAUCUCUGUGUUGUACAUAAUGAGUUCUCAAUAGGAUGAACCUCAAUAUUGUGGAAGCGUAUAUGAGAAGCUUCUGUUCAUUUAUCCCUUAUCGAUUCUUGGGUCCGUGGGAAUGGUCCGUAUCAAAGAAACUUGACAAGACACUACUACGUCUGAGACUUACAAUGAUCACUCUUUUGCAUUAAAUCACAUUUGUAUACUAUGACUAUGGUUUUCGAAAGCUCAGGGUAUGGCCUAUGGAUCGGUCUUAUUGACAUAGACAGGAAGCGAAUGGCAUUGCUAUUGCAUAUCCUAAAAAGAAAAAGGC